ACUUAGUUCAAGCUUACAACAAACUCCUUGGAAGUACUCUAACUUCCUGAAAUAUGGAGUUUAUGAUAAACUACCUCGGAACUUGCAAGCUAUUUUGAGUUCUUCAGGUGGUUUCUCACCAGCAAAUCCACUGUCAACCCAAGCAGAGUAGCCUCCUCCCAUGUUAUUCACAUGCUCGAAGCCCUGAAAUUUCUCACUAAAUCUCAUUAUUACUUAUCCUUUUCUUUUGCAGGUCUAGUCAACCUUGCAAAUUAGUUCUAGCAUCUCAAAUCUUACCGCGUUAAGAAGAUCGACGCAAGCACGAAGGCCUCUACCACCUCUGUUGCAAUUCUGCACAAAUAGGUAAAUAUUUUGCAAUUUGUUUCAAUAUUACUUUUAAAUCUGCAUUGGGAUAUAAAAGUAGCAACACCGAGGAAUAGUUUUUCUUCUUACCACCACUAUAUGAUCUUCCUUCUUUAAUAUGGAUGUAACUUGUGCUAGAAAGUCGGGAUUCUUUACUUGACCUGUUUAUUAGCAAACUGUCAGAUUCUAUAGGAUCAAACAUACGAGAGUUGAUCUAAGAAAAUGCAUCUAGGUCAAUGCUUAGCAGUGAAAACAUCCUAAAACUGUAGAGUUUAGUUACUUUUAGAACAAAAUCAUACAGGGACAGCUGGUUAUUACCUUCUGGGGUGAAGAACACGUAGGGAACAUUUAGUGCAUUCUCAACAUGGCCUUUGUUAUACUCUUCAACUGUCCUGCAACCAAAACCAUCUCUUCAGUUAUUUAGCUUCAUUACCUUUGAUUAUAUAUAUUUAUAUAUAAGCCGACCUAACAUCCAAACAGAGGCGACCCUUUUCUAAGAGAUCUUUGGCAACUUGAACAUCGACUGUCCUGCAGAUUGGGAGUGAAUAAAUGAGUUAAUUUCAAACUCUUUUUUUGCAUAGUAAAUGUGAGGUUACAUUCCUACGAGUUAAGGAAAUGGCAACAUGGUUGAUAAGAUUAACCUCUCCAUCUUUUGAAAGAGCAAAGAGAUUCUUUGUUUCGGCUUUUCCUCUUCCUUGUUAGAUUGGAUCCAUUCCUUAAGAACCAAAAGAUUUUAUAAAUGAUCAAGAUUGUAAAAUGCAAGCUUUUGGUUGACUUUGAUCAUUUCAAGUUAUGCUGAAUUCAUAAUGUAAUUAUUGAUUAAAAUUCUUGAAUGUUUAAUUAACAAAUAGGCUUAAAUUUUCAUUUUCAUCACCAUUUGUAUAUAUAUAUAUAUAAUAUUAACGAUCGGUUCUAAAUUAUUUUCAUGAUUGGACUUUACGUAUCUGACUUUUGGUUCUUUUUUUAAGGAGAAAACGAUAAGUUUUUAUAUGGUUAGUUUGUUGGUCAACCAUUGAUUAUCCUUGAAGUUCAUUGUUGGAAACAAUUGAAUUUUGAUAGUGAAUUUGUUAGAUUGUAUCCCUUUCAUUUGUCUUUUCUCGUGGGCUAUUCCUGCCUUCAUCCCAUAAAGAAAUGGAGGAAGAAAUGGAAGCAUGGAUGGAGACGGAGAUGGAGACGGAGACGGAGAUCAUUCAAAGUGAAUCUCUUGUUGAUCUUGAUUAUAAAACUACUCUUUUAAAACUUUUGUAUUAGAGAGUAUAGAAAGGAACACACUUAUAUAGUUAGCACACUCAAGUUUAAAGUGUUUUUAACUUAAACGAUUUAAAAAUUAAUGGCGUAAUUUCUUUUAGAGUGCUUGAAUCUCGUUGAUUCAUUGAACUUUUUUGGUGAAGGAUAAUUACACUUCUAAUAUUUUGUCAAAAACUCAACAAUCUUUACACGCUGUAAUACCUACGUUAGUACAUGAAAUGUUUAAUUUAGCUAAGCCCAUAAAAAUACUCUCAUUUAGUUUAA
This 1854-nucleotide long non-coding RNA is filed under the name Cucumis sativus (cucumber). Its description in RNAcentral is "long non-coding RNA (CSAT_LNC000653)". The record is from RNAcentral. Lineage: Eukaryota; Viridiplantae; Streptophyta; Magnoliopsida; Cucurbitales; Cucurbitaceae.